Molecule: ribosomal RNA, 459 nt
Filed under: uncultured bacterium
Lineage: Bacteria
Description: partial 16S ribosomal RNA
Rfam family: Bacterial small subunit ribosomal RNA
Source: RNAcentral
AACGAACGCUGGCGGCAGGCCUAACACAUGCAAGUCGAACGUGAAGCCACCUUUGGGUGGUGGCAAGUGGCAGACGGGUGAGUAACGCGUGGGAACGUGCCUUUCGGUUCGGAAUAACCCAGGGAAACUUGGGCUAAUACCGGAUACGCCCUCCAGGGGAAAGAUUCAUCGCCGAAAGAUCGGCCCGCGUCGGAUUAGCUAGUUGGUUGGGUAAUGGCCUACCAAGGCGACGAUCCGUAGCUGGUCUGAGAGGAUGACCAGCCAGACUGGGACUGAGACACGGCCCAGACUCCUACGGGAGGCAGCAGUGGGGAAUAUUGGACAAUGGGCGAAAGCCUGAUCCAGCCAUGCCGCGUGGGUGAAGAAGGCCCUAGGGUUGUAAACCCCUUUCAGCGGGGAAGAUAAUGACGGUACCCGCAGAAGAAGCCCCGGCUAACUCCGUGCCAGCCGCCGCCGUAA